This is a long non-coding RNA of Oreochromis aureus, 3847 nucleotides long. Lineage: Eukaryota; Metazoa; Chordata; Actinopteri; Cichliformes; Cichlidae. The record is from Ensembl.
GAGGUGUCAGUUUUUCAGUGUUUACAGGUUGAGUUUUUUAACAUUUGUGUAGAAAUAAACAUAAGGUGUAGUUUGUACUUAACAAAAUGCCAAGGAAAGGUCAAAGGUCGCAGUCCCAGAAGCUUAGAUGGCAAAAGCAGAAAGAACAGGUAAAUGUUUCUCAGAGCGGUGAGCAGGUAAAGGUGUCUGUUACAAGUAUUCCCAGUCCAGAAGUGCAGAGCAGCGUUCAGACAGCCGCAGUGUCUUAUGCAGAUGUGGUAAAGAGAGGUAUUCGCUCAGCAUGUGUGCCAAAUGUUAAAGUACAGCAGGUAAUCCAGACUGAACCCCAGGUAACUGUGCAAACGCAGCAUGAUGGAGAAGCUCCAGGACCGUCUCAUGUACAUGUUACAAACAGUGAAAGUCGUCCACGAGUGAGUAGCAUCUGUGCGUCCCGAAGCCAGGCCUCUCCUAAGUAUGGAAAGUACAGGAAUCAGCAAUGCAUGGCUAACAGUUUGGUUUUCCUGUCAUUCUUACACGAGGAUGAAUUCAUUACGAGAGCAGAUCUUAACCGUGUGUUGGACAAAGGCCAUGCCGUGUAUUCAGAUGCCAGAAAGAGGUUUGUGAACAGCGUGUUUCUAGCCUGCGAUGAGCUUCCCACAGUGGUCACCAGCCGCAGACACGAGUAUCAAGUGGACAUGUCUCAGUUUGCUCAUUACGGCACAUUUGAUGGUACAGGUCAUCUUCCGAGCCUUGAACAGGGACUACAGUGUUUGGCUUCACAGGUUCGCUAUGCUUUGCUAGUCAUGGGAGGAACGGUCAUCGCAGUUUGCAGGCUGACUUCAGGUGAAUACGCAUAUUUUGACCCUCACCCACGUAAGUCUACAGGAAUGCCAUUGUCGCUAGCUGUAAGUGGUGGAACUGCAGUUAUGUUAAAAUUCACACGUCUUAACGACAUGACUGACAGGAUCAAAUGCUUGUACCGAAUGUUUAGCAUCGCACCAACCUGCACUUAUGAGCUACAGCCUGUCGAGUUUCACAGUGAAAACGCUGCUGACCAAAGAGAUGCUAAUCAAACCACCGAAUACAGACAAACCGCUGCAAGUGUUCCAGCCGCAGCUUUAAAUGAACCUGUCCAUGAAUUAAAUUCCCAAACAACCACUGAGCGGACACGGAAAACUGUUACGGAGACUGUAAUCACUGAAGUGACAUCAUCCAGAGUGGAUUAUUCAGAUGAGACAGCUGCUACUGAAAACAAGAAUCGUCCUUCUGAUUAUUUACAGAAAGAAACCUCUGCAUCUUCUGUGAGAGAAACUCAGGUAAUAUCAGAUGCUGUUCCUCAGAAUGAUUCAAACACUGCCUCCUGUUCAACUAAGGCAACACAGGAACUGCCACAUAAAAUUUUGAAACGUAAUAAACAGGAAGCACAAAAAAUGAGGAGAAGGUCACUGGCCCAACAGAAAUUACCACAAAGAAAGGAAAAUCAGAAAAGGAAGGAAAGGGAGAUGUACAGUUGUGAUGAAAGCUUUAAGGCAAAGAAAAGAAAUUCCAGUAGAAAGUCUAAUGAUCCAGAUCACAGACAGAAGAAGAGAGUGUACAAAAAUAAUCUGUAUAAAAUAAAUGCUACAUAUAGAGAGAAACAGACAGAACAUUUGAGAAAGAUCUAUAAAGAAAGAGAUGAUUUUAAGGAAAAACAGAAGGAGCAAAUGAAAAGGCUGUAUAGAGAAAGUGCUAAAAUUAGAGAGAAAAAAAGGCAAUGUGUCAUAAGGACAUACAAAGACAAUCCUAUAUUCCGAGAAAAGCAGAAAGAACGUAUAAGAAGAACAUAUAGAGAGUCUUCUAUAUUCCAAAAAAAGCAGAAAGAACGUAUAAGAAGAACAUAUAGAGAGUCUUCUAUAUUCCGAGAAAAGCAGAAAGAACGUAUAAGAAGAACAUAUAGAGAGUCUUCUAUAUUCCAAAAAAAGCAGAAAGAACGUAUAAGAAGAACAUAUAGAGAGUCUUCUAUAUUCCGAGAAAAGCAGAAAGAACGUAUAAGAAGAACAUAUAGAGAGUCUUCUAUAUUCCGAGAAAAGCAGAAAGAACGUAUAAGAAGAACAUAUGGAAGUUCUGUUGAAUUCAGAGAGAAACAUAAAGCCUGCAUGAGGUCAUAUGUAUAUAAACUAUAUCAAGAAAGUGAAGAAUUUAAAAAGAAAAAACUAUCUUACAUCACUAAACGUUAUGGAGAAGAGAGACAAUUUCAGCAACAACACAAAGAGAAUAUGAGAGAACGAAUGAGAGUAAAAUAUUGGAACGUUUUUUCUUUUAGACAGAUGCAUAAUAUCAGAUGUGCAAUGAAUAUAAAAAGAAAAUAUCGUCAGAUGCAUCGACCAGCUGAAAGUUUACAGUAUCAUCCAGAUAACAGUUUAAUGAAUGAGGCCAUAUCUCGUUUCAGGUCAAACAUUAAGUCAGCACCAUCUUAUGUUUGUACUGUUUGUCUAAAAGCUUCUUUUCCUAAUCAGGUGAAAAUCUGCAAAAGAGAAAAUUACUCAAAACACCAAACUGUAGCUCAGCAGUGUCUAACUGGUAAAUUUGUUCAUGUGUGUGAUGAAGCAUGUAAUGAUCACUGCAGCUUUCCUGUUGAGAGAAAAAAGGAGUAUAUCUGUCACACGUGUCACAGUUCCCUCAAAAGUGGACGCAUGCCAAGGCUUGCUGCUGUCAAUGGUUUAGAACUGCAGGAUAUUCCAGCUGAACUGUGUGAUCUCAACAUUCUGGAGAGACAUCUGAUUGCCAAAUGCAUACCAUUUGCAAAGAUUAUUCCUCUUCCAAAGGGCAGACAAAGACUCAUACGUGGUAAUGUGGUGUGUGUACCAUCUGAGGUCCAACAAACAGUUGACUCUUUACCUCGGCUCAGAAGCCAAUCACAGAUAAUGAGGAUCAAGUUGAAAAGACGACUGUGCUACAAAGGCCAUCAGCUGUUCCAGACUGUCACCUGGUCUAAACUGAUCCAAGCCCUGCGUAAACUCAAACAAAUUCAUCCACAGUACACAGAUAUUGUUAUCAGAGAUGAUGCAUUGCUUUGUGAUCCCACGUUACCUGAUGAUGACAGCAGUGAUGAAGCCAGCAUGGGAAGUGAUGAUUAUGAUGAAGCAGAUUUAAUGGAAAUUGACAACUAUGAAAAAGAUGCCCUUUUGUGUGAAACUGAGUCUGAAAGUGAACAAGAUGUUAAUAUGCAAUCCUGUGAUGAACAACCAGAGGAAAUCAAUCCAGAGGAACCAGAAAGUGAUUUGAACAAUGGAGGUUUUGCUCUAGAAAGUUGCCUGCAGCCUGUUGACAUUUCAGAAGAGAUUCUCUCUUUCACUGAUAACACAUAUUGUGUGGCUCCUGCAGAAAGAAACAAUCCUGUUAGCUUCUUCAGAACUCCUCACUUGGAAGCCAUGGCAUUUCCUGUGCAGUUUCCUACUGGUCAGAAUACACUGGAUGAAAAGAGACGUUUUAAACUCACACCAAGUGCUUACUUCAAGUCAAGGCUUUUCAACAUUGAUGCAAGAUUUGCUAAAGACACAAAUUACCUGUUUUUCUCACAGUUUGUCACUGAAAUACACUUGGCUAAUUCCAGCAUGACAAUACAGCUAAGGAAAGGUAAAACUAUGACCAAAGAUGGACGCAAAAUCACAUCAGGAAUGUUACAAAGUAAGACAGAAGUAGAGAAGCUGGUAAGAAAUAAAGAUGCAAUCAGAUUUAUGCAGCCACUCAGAGGAACUCCAGCUUACUGGCAGAAAACUACCAGAGAUCUAUUCAGUAUGGUUCGCCAAAUAGGAACACCUCAGUUCUUUGUCACUUUCUCAGCUGCUGAGAUGAGAUGGCCAGAAGUGAUUCAAGCAAUAAAGAGACA